CGGGGGAGCUAAGCGUUGUUCGGAGUUUACUGGGCGUAAAGGGCGCGUAGGCGGUCAGCACAAGUCAGUUGUGAAAUCUCCGGGCUUAACUCGGAAAGGUCAACUGAUACUGUGCGACUAGAGUGCGAAGGGGCAACUGGAAUUCUCGGUGUAGCGGUGAAAUGCGUAGAUAUCGAGAGGAACACCUGCGGCGAAGGCGGGUUGCUGGGCCGACACUGACGCUGAUGCGCGAAAGCCAGGGGAGCGAACGGGAUUAGAUACCCCGGUAGUCCUGGCCUUAAACGAUGGAUGCUUGGUGUCUGGAGUUUUAUAGUCUCCGGGUGCCGUAGCUAACGCGUUAAGCAUCCCGCCUGGGGAGUACGGUCGCAAGACUG
This 374-nucleotide ribosomal RNA is filed under the name uncultured organism. RNAcentral's name for it is "bacterial SSU rRNA". It matches the Rfam family "Bacterial small subunit ribosomal RNA", at positions 526 to 896 of the family's 1533-position model. The record is from RNAcentral.